GAGAACUAGGCUAACCAAAUGAUUUAUCCCUAGAAUUAUGUAGCAUUGCUCCCAACAGCCUUGGUUUCGCCUUCCUGAGAUGGCGCUGGGCAUGGUUCCUGGUUCCUGCAUGUAACCGAGUGUGCUUUCUCUGUCUCCUUCCCUGGCCUGGGAACUGACUCUGCUGCAUUUCUCCUGCUCCAUCUGCUCUUUCAGGGAUCACCUUCAGCACCCUGGCGGGACUGGUCUUUGACUGGACGAUUGAGAAGGACACGCAGGCGGGCGGGUUCUCAGACUCCCACAGUGCCCUGCGCUGCAUGAGCUGGACACAGUUCUUUCCCCUGCACUCUCCAGCCUAGAAACUGAGACUGGGAGAGGUCCAGCCAUUGUCUGGAGUUGGAAUAAAUCUUUGAAGUUAUGCUGGGGUAGAGGAUGGCCAGCUGCCCAGCAGCAUAGACUUGGAAAGGGGGCCUGUUUACCUGCUCUUCAAAUAUCUGCUGGUUUGGAGGAUGCCAAAAAUCUUGUCAUCACCUUCCCAGAAACAAAAGUGCUGAGGGCCAAGGCCAUUGCUAGAGCCUGGAGUGUGUUGGGAACUGGCUGGCCCCAGGGCUGCCUGAAGAUCAUUUGGCUGCAUCUCUCUGCCUCUCUGGAGCCUGCUACUGCCGGAAACAAGAGGACGUCUUGUGUCUCCCCAAGUACUUUUCCUGGUAAGGCUUUGUCCCAGGUGAGGAAAAGCAUCAUCCCACAGCAAAUCCCUUUAGCAUGGACUGCCAUUGCAUCUUCUUUGUGUAUAAUUCCUCUGAAUUCAGUUUUCCAGGCUGGUCUGCCAGCUGGCCAUCCUGCAGUCCAAGUCAAGCUUUCCUGCCUUUUGUGCCAAUAGACAAAGACUUAGUGAGUUAAUGUGAUUCCUUGGCUCUUCCUCUAGAGAAAUUAUGUCUUGGUUACUUUUUCAUUGCGGGGACAAAACACUCAACAGUCACAAUUUAAAGGAGGAGAGGUUUAUUUUGGCUCACACUUUCAUAAGUUUCAGUCCACGCUCCAGCUCAGGGCCAGCAUGGUGGAAGGGCCUGGGUGGAUGAAUGCGGCUUGCAGCAAGGCAGCUAGGAAGCAGAAGGAGGAACUGAGGAAGGAGAUACGCUCUCUCAGGUCAUGCCCCAGUGACCCACAGCUGCUGACAGGGCUCUUCCUGCUAAGAGCACACAGUAAGGACCUCAUCAGUGAAUCAAUCCACUGAUAAGCACAGCGCCCCCAUGAUCCAAGCAUCUUCUGAAUGCCCCACUGUAGGGAACAGGGAAAGGGGACGUUACUAGAACCUCUGCAGUAUGUCCUAGUCUCCUUCGAGCCAUGACAGCACAAGGCGAAUCAGUUUAUUACACAGAAAAGAUAGAAAAAAUGAGACUUAGAGAAGAAGCUGAGCUUUGGGCCUGAUCAGUGCUGCUCUGGGCAGCAAAGAGGAAAGCCCCCAGCUUGUGGCACCUUUAUUCAGUACAUCGGGAGAAACAAAUGUAGCAGAUGACUCAGGGCAGAGAGGUCAGUACAUGCAGAGAAACACAUGUAACAGAUGACUCAGUGGUCAGAGGAAAUCUUAGAAUAAUGAGGAACUACGCAGAUGAAGAUUUUGUUCCUCGCAGGAUGUCUUCAGCUGGUGUAAUCUUGUCCUGGAGCAUCACAGCAUCACCGGACCAUUGAGGUCUUAGCUGUGACCAGAGGCCAAAAUGGAGUUAUGUCUUGAAAUGUCGUAGCUGGCCUGUAGGCAGGAGAACUACACCUGAUCAAAUGAUUUUUCCCCGAAAUUAUGUAGAAUUGCUCCCGGGACCCACCAAUACAUGAGGCUUUUGGAAUGAGAGGGCCUUCCAGUUCCAAACCAUAGCAAAUUGCUUUGGAAAUCCCACAGGUUUCAACAAAAUAUAUGUUUCAUAGUGUAAUCAUGGGCAAAAUAUAUGUUUCAUAGUGUAAGCAUGCUCUGGAAUUUGGAACUUAGGCUAUUUUGGCUUUUGAAAUGUAAAUGAAAAUCAAAGGUAUUUAGGUUGUUGUUAAUGGUUUUAAUAUAUCAGCUCUCCAGGGCUGGGGAUUUAGCUCAGUGGCAACGCACCUGCCUUGCAAGCACAAGGUCCUGAGUUCGAUCCCCAGUACCAAAAAACAAAGCAAAC
Heterocephalus glaber (naked mole-rat) is the source of this 2129-nucleotide long non-coding RNA. NCBI's taxonomy places the organism in Eukaryota, Metazoa, Chordata, Mammalia, Rodentia, Bathyergidae. The record is from Ensembl.